GAAUAAAGACAAACCUGAAUUCUGAGGGGAGCUUUGUAGCAUAUACUUGGCCAUGCCUGUAAACAGGCCAAAAUAGGACUACAAUUUCAAAAUACUAUCGAUUCUUUCUCAUUCCUUUGACAUUUGCCUCGCGACUUUUGCAUCAAUUUAGAGUAGGUAAAUUAUACUAGAACGUACAAAUGAUACGAACUGAAUAGAGCCAAUUCUAUUGCUGUACUUGUACUUGUCUUGCUAUUUACUACUGCAGCUUUAAUGGAUACAAGUUUAUGUGUAGUCACUCACAAAAGUACACACUAAUUGUCUGUUACGAAUGAGCCAUUCAAAAUAACCAGAAAUUCUCUCUAGCAGAGAUACAAGGUGGGAAUAUCAUGAAGAUGAGAUCAACAUGCAUAAAACAGUGGACAGAAACUCAAACACCCCCAUCCCCCCCAAAAAAGUAUUAUUUCACAACUUGUUGUUAAGGCAAAGAAGCAUAUAGCCUAGACCAAGAGGUCGUUAAAGAAUGUCGCCUUCUGGCAUCCACAUGCAAAGGAAGCGUUAAUAACAUAUUCUUCCCUCUUUCCUUCCAUACCUAAAGAGCCUCUUUGUCAAUCUGGUCAACAUGCCAGACACCGUGUUUGUCACAGGUUUCCUAGAUUUCAACUUUAUCAUCUUUAACUUAGACAACUGCAGAUCUUUGUGCAUACAAGCCGUCAAGACUACUAGGUCGAGUACAAUGGAUGAUAUCUUAUUCUCUGAACUCCUAAUGGGGCUAAUCUCUUAUGUACAGGUUUUGCAAUGGAUCUCACGUCCCAAACCCUUAGAUGUUCAUAAUAGCUACUGGUCAGCAAGAUAUAACUUGGACUCUUUGCAAUGUAACGGAUGCCUAUUGCAUGAACUUCCGUAUUGUGGUAAGCUAACUUACAAGGAUCAUCUCACAAAUCCCAGCAACUGAAUUUGCAGUCAUCCUGAGUUCCUGACAGUGCACAAAGCAGCUGUGGCUGGUGGAUAUCAAAAGAGGCAGCCAAAGCUCAUAAUCAUGUGCUUUUCAGUCUUAGGAAAUACUUAGUUGAGAUUCAAGGAUUGAUGUUACUACACGUAUUUAUGACAUAUCUCUAGCAAAUCGAUCCCUACAAGAAACAGAAGACCUUGUCAUGGAAGUAC
Molecule: long non-coding RNA, 1143 nt
Filed under: Nicotiana tabacum (common tobacco)
Lineage: Eukaryota; Viridiplantae; Streptophyta; Magnoliopsida; Solanales; Solanaceae
Description: long non-coding RNA (NTAB_LNC014159)
Source: RNAcentral